This 91-nucleotide transfer RNA is filed under the name Streptomyces phaeofaciens. RNAcentral describes it as "tRNA-Ala". RNAcentral also lists the same sequence under 1 other name. Lineage: Bacteria; Bacillati; Actinomycetota; Actinomycetes; Kitasatosporales; Streptomycetaceae. The record is from RNAcentral.
CGGGCAUGUAGCCGAAGCCGCGCCGGUCGUCGGCGGUGACCGGGGAGCCGUUCCAGCGGAUCUCGCCGCCGUUCAGGGCGAGGACGCCCAU